Gopherus agassizii (Agassiz's desert tortoise) is the source of this 933-nucleotide long non-coding RNA. The record is from Ensembl. Lineage: Eukaryota; Metazoa; Chordata; Testudines; Testudinidae.
CUCAAAACUUUCUGCGCGGAACUGCAGCUAGCGUCUGUCCGGCACAAGCAGCGUGAGAGCUCCAUGCUCUGAUUGCUCCUUACCUCUCCUGGCCGCAGAAGGAUUUACUCUUUGCGCUUCAAACAUGCCAGUCACCGUACAAGGAAAACAACCAAACUUCAUACAGAAAUUUGGACAUACAACUCUACAAGAAGGAGAAGAUUUAAUCCUGCAUUGCACUAUACAUGGAAUACCCAGACCAAAUGUUGUUUGGACUAAAGAUGAUAUCAGACUGGUAGCUGGAAACAUCAGUACUGAAAAAUUAGGUGACUCCUAUUACCUUUUAAAAAGAAAUGUAGUCCUUGCUGAUACUGGGAAAUAUAUUUGUGUUGCCAGCAAUGAAGUUGGGGAAGCAUACUGUUCAGCUUUCAUAAAAGUUACAGAGAAAAAUGAAAAACCAGAAAUUCCCACUGAAACUGAGAUAAAAUCAAAACAGGAACAAGGAUAUUUUUUAGAAAAAAUGACUGUCCCUACAACUGAAGUGGGACAAGAUCAGGAUGCAUGUUGUAUGAAAGGUCAAAGGCCAAUGGCUAACCAUCUGUCAGUGAGGUUAAAACAUAAACACUGGCUGCAGAGUGCCUAUUUUUCACAUGUGGAGUCGCAAGAAGUUAACAUCAUUUUGAAGCAUGAUCCCAUACUUCUCUUGGCUACUCCAGAGGAUAUUAUAGGGGAAAUCUAAUUAAGAAGAUGGGUUGAACUUCAGGAUGCCCAAUUUAUGAAUGGACUAAUUGCUUGCUGUGAAUCUUCAUGGAGAUUUGACAUUGUUAGGGGGGGAAGGAACUCUCUGAGUAUUGCUUAAUUAAUACCUAAGAACAUGCUAGUAAAUAGAAUUUGUAAUUUGUUUCUCUAUAUUUCAUUAAUAAAGUCACGUGCAUAGCAGAAUCUACUUGAUGU